GGGGCGGUCUGCGUAGCCUCGGGGACUGCCCUUCGGUGCUGGGUGUCGGCGGAGGACGCAAGCCUAAGCAGCGCAUCUCGGGAGGGUGCGAUGGGGCCGUGGAGGAGGGUCUGCGCGUGACUCCGGGAGCGCGGAGUGGAAGCCGGCCUUGCCUCGGGCAGGGCCCAGACAGGGUGGAGUGGCAGGUGCCUGGAGAGGACUUGUUGGCAUCUGAGAGGAAGAAAACAACUGUGCAUGUCCAGAGUCCCCAUUGCAGCUUUGGGGGGUGGUCCCCAGAGCAGACCCAGAUGUCACUAGGAACGCCUCCAGUAGGGUGGGGCCAAGCUCUUCUGACCCCAGCCCGGCUUCCUGCCUGGACCCUGUGGAGUUGCUCAACAGGAUUCAACGCUGCAGCCUGGGGGCCAGGAGUCAGGGCAAGGCCAAGACUGGGCAGGAGGGCUGCAGAGGGACUUUACAGGCACUGAAGACCCAGAACACUGACUGCCACGAUGAGACCAGGUCCCUCAGGAGGAUGAUAAGAGAGGAGAAGAGGGAGAGGGCCAGAGCUAGAGGAGCUCACGAGUCAGCGGGUGAGAGAGGGGAGGAAGGAGGUAAUUACGUGCUGAUGGUCGUCUGCACUCUUGGACUCUUCCAUAACUGCUCCAGAAGCUUCAGGGUGUUGGGAGCAGCAGCAGUCAUGGAGCAGCCAUGGGAAGGAAAGGGGAGAGUGAGAGUCGAGGAGGCACUCGGGCCCUGCCGUCCUGAGGCUGCGGAGCCAACCCCACAGGCUCCGGUGUGCUUAUCUCCAGAGCCUUCUCCGCAGCCUGGAUCACUUCCUACAGCGAGGGAGGAGCCUCUGUCUUCCCACACACUUUCCCAGCCCUCACAUCCUGUAACUGUGCCCAGGCAGGGAAGGCCAAGGCCGUGUCAUCCCGUUCCUCCAAGAGGCGGCCACCAUCUCCAGGACGUUGUGCACACUCCCAGCCAAGGCGCAAAAACCACAGGUGUGACCCAACUGUCCCCAAGAACCCUGUGCCCCAGCCCCACCUGGAGUGUCUCCGCUACUGGCAGAGUCUUUGUCAUCACUGGUUUCAGGAAAGCUGUCCUCAGAGCUACCUGCAGAGACACAAACAUCAGAGAAGGGUGACUUCAGAGUGACUCAAACAGCACUCCUGCUCCACGCACAGCCACACUGGGUGACACCAGGUGCCCUGCUCCAUCCUCUGUGAUCUCAGACUCUCCCCGGGCUCUGUGGACUCAGCUGGGAGCCUUCAGAUGAAACAGAAAACCUGAAAAAAUCCCCCUUCACCCAUUCACCUCAAGUGGCCCAUUAUGGCUGUCAGCUCCACUCCGAGAACCCUGAAUUUCCAACAUAGAUGCACACGUGUUGAGUUAGGUGAGUGCAGUGAACAGAACCUGGGUCAGGCUCAUGGCAGCUGGCCCAGAGAACAUUCUGACAGGAUGGCAAUGCUCUCUGCAGUGUAAGCAUUGGGAUACUGGGUACUCAAAGUGUGGCUCUUGAGAGGAGGUUCUGAAUUUUUAAUUUUAUGUCUUGAAAUUAAUGUAAAAAUAAACAAGCAUAGAUGCUACUGAAGUCCACACUAAAAUGCACAGGUUUAAAGAACAAAGAUGAGAAAGACAUGGCUUGCCUCCCCUGCUGCUGCCUUGCAGACUAGCUUGCUGCUGUGAUCUGGUCAUCCAAAGAUGGGUACUUCCAGGGCAACAUGCACAAGAAACAGGCCCCCAUGAGGCCUGGGGAUGCUAACACACAGAGGACAGCAGCCUGGUCCUGGGGGCUCCCCAGCAGCGGCACACUUGUGACAGCAAAAGAGCAUCCUCUGCAAACACUCUCCAAAUAGGAGCGGAGGAGGCAAGCGGGGGACCUCACUGCCUUCAUGAGCCCCACCCCCCAGAUCAGAACCCAUGCAGGGCCCUGGAUUAGUGUGGGCUCAACAGACUGCACAGGGUGAGCAGGAAAACUUUUCACAUUUGUGCUGUGUCUCAGCACAGAGCUGUAUGCAUCAGAACAUCACUGCACCCCAAAGAAAGCUGCUCAGGGCUGAGCUCUGAGAUGGGAAGAAAUGAGAAGGACACAGUCCCUGUGCUCCCAGUGACCAGCCAUGGCUGGCUAAUUUUAUUUUUUUGUAGACAUGUAAUUUUACCAUGUUGCCCAGGCCAGUCUUAAACUUCUGGGCUCAAGUGAUCCUCCUGCCUCAAUCUCCCAAACUGCUGGGAUUACAGGCAUGAGCAUCCCCACUGGGUCCAGUCAUAUCUUUAAAUACAACAGGACAUGUCCCUGAUUAUUCUCUGCUUUUGAACAUGAGCUGAGAAAUGACCCCACCACUGUAGCCUAAAGGCUGUGACUUCCCUAUGUGUGUUUCAUAUUAGUGACCACCCCAAAGUCCAGUGCACUGCUACCCUGCCUUUCGCCAUCACUGAGAACAUCUUAUAAUGACGGGCAGUGUCUGAGAUCUCUCUACGCUGUCAUCCUUCCACGUGCACACACAGAUGCUGGCAUUCCCUGGUGCGGUGAUGAGUUACACCAGGGCAACAUGAGGACUGCAGAGUAGCAGCCCAUCACGUCAACUUUGCACCCAUUCCUGAGUUCACAUUUGCCUUUUCCAUUCAGGAAAUGGAGAGCUUGGGAAAUUCAUCUUUCCACCAUAUCCAACCUUAGGACUGAGAAUAUUAAACUACCCUUCUGGUACAGCUGUGGUGAAGGAUGAAAGUGUUGACUGAUGGGAAGUGUGCAGUGGGGAUGGAAUUUGGUUUCUAGAACACCGAACCUUGGGUUGUGCUUUGCACAGGGGAGCAUGCUUUCUAGAGAAAUGCACACACACUCCCAAAGACAUUCACCAUCACUCCACACAGACUCUCUCCUCCAUGCCUCCCCACCCUGAUGCACCCGUGUUCCUAUUUAAAUGACAUCACUGCUUCUGGGAACUAGAGUGGAUGGCCACAGGUGUUGACUAAAUUCUUUGGUUUUUCUUAUACCAAACUGCCCAAACCUCAUUUCCAGCAGGAAGCUCCCACCAGGGUGGUUCUCCAGCAAAAGCAGGGAGGAAAGUGUCACCUUUCUCAACACUAAGAUAUUUCCUUAGCAAAGGGGUGGCCCCAGAGUACAUACCACUUGCUCGAAUCGCUGAGUCUCUCUGCAGGGAGAAAGGAAAACACUAAGCGUCGGACCAUGCUGUGUCCCGUGUGCACAGCUCUUUUCUUCAGUUGCUGACAUUAGAAAAGCAGAUGGGAAAUAUUGCUUGUAAGGCCGAUUGCCUCGCCGGGAGCUCACCCCCACCCGCUUUUUUCGCCGAAAGCUCGGACAAGCUCGGGCAUGUUUCCUUCUCCCCUUCUCGCACAGCCUGGCUUUCCCUUAAAGAACCCAGUAUGCAAGCAGGGUCUUGUGAUUCUAGCCAAUAGCAGCCGAGUCUUUCUAGCCAAUAGCAGCCGAGUAAUUCUAACCAAUAGCAGCCAAGUCCUGUAUGCAAACAAAGGCUUGUAACCUUACCCAAUAGUAGUCCUGCUCUCCCACAACCAAUCGAACUCCUUCACUCCCUAUAAAACCCCACGUCUGAGAGGAGUCCAUGCGACUUCUCCGGCCCCUCCUGUCGGACCGCAGAACCUUGCCCGGGAGCCUGAAUAAAUUCCUUCAUAUUGGAUCUUCUUGUGUUGGCCUCAGUUUCUUCCUUUUAAACUCGGCAAGAACCCAAGAACAAACCUCACAGUGCUCAAGGCAAUGGCCCCAAAGUAAAGCCUAGAAGACACUUGUGGAAAGGCACGAGUUUUGUGUAAGACUUUCCAUAUGAUUUUUAUUGCAAAUUCACCACAAUUUUCAAACAGUAAGCACUUCUCCUGAGGAAAAUGUUACCUGCAUACGGUUUGUAUCUGAAGCUGUCAUCUAUGAGUGCCAUCUGGAACCAGUUCCUAGUUGGCAGUGAACUCUCACAUUUUCCCACCAAGAAACUCUGUAACUUGUCUACAAUGUCCAUGGUAAGAGUUGCAACAAAUGAAAUGGAAAGAAACUAAGAGAAAUACAAUUCUCAUCUUAGACAAAAAACGAUCUUACGUUGAAAACGGCCAGGACUUGUUCUGAGGACAUCUCUCCAGGAAACUGUCCUGAGACGAAGAGUAAGUGAGCUAGGAAACAGAGUCACUGUCAGCACAUGGGAGCUAGUGAAGAAUCAAUCCCUCAGGCAGCCUUGGGUGCUGUGGACGGGGCUGGCGUGUGUGGAAGAGGUGGGUUAACAGCACAGGCUGAGCUGCCAGCCCAUCCUCCUUAGUGGUGAAGGGCGGCAAAGGAGACCAUCAGGAAAGCCCUGGGAGACAGAGCCUUGGCUCUCGAGCUGAGCCACCCUCAUCAAUGUGAAAGCUGAUCUCAAACAGGGUACAUGUGUUUCAAUGACAGCAUCUCAGGGAGCCUUCUAUUUGGACCUGAGCUAAGUCGUGCUGUUUUUUUUUUCUCUUUGAGCUGCUCUUGCACUGUCACCUGGGCUGGAGUGCCGCGGUGCAAUCAUGACACUGCAGCCUCGACCUCCCAAGCCCAGGUGGAUCCUUUGCCUCAGCCUCCAAGUAGCUAAAACUACAGAUGUCCCCAUCGUGCCCAGCUGAUUUUGUAGAGAUGGGGUUUUGCCAGCUUGCCUAGGCUGGUCUCGAACUCCUGAGCUCAAGCAGUACACUCGCCAUGGCCUCCAAAAGUAGCGGGAUUACAGGUGUGAGCCACUGCUCCCAGCUGUGCUGCCUUCCUGAUCCCAUCUGAGGUCAUUUACUCCCAGGAUCCACCUGCACCGCUGUGUGGAUCACCUGUCCUAGAAGAUGUCCUACAUCAUUAAAUCAGUCUUUCUUUUAAAAUAUGUAUUCCAGCCAAAAUAGUCUAUAACAUUUGUCCACCAAACAUCUGUUUUAAAGAAAAAUAAAGAUUUUAAAUACUCAUAAUUAUCCUACCAUUUAAACAU
RNAcentral lists this long non-coding RNA (4928 nucleotides) under Aotus nancymaae (Ma's night monkey). RNAcentral's name for it is "lncRNA (ENSANAG00000038550.1)". The record is from RNAcentral. Lineage: Eukaryota; Metazoa; Chordata; Mammalia; Primates; Aotidae.